GUGGGUGUAGCUCAGUGGUAGAGCACUUGACUGUGGCUCAAGACGCCGCGGGUUCGAACCCCGUCACCCACC
Molecule: transfer RNA, 72 nt
Filed under: Candidatus Undivivens industriae
Lineage: Bacteria; Pseudomonadati; Candidatus Omnitrophota
Description: tRNA-His
Rfam family: tRNA
About the family: Transfer RNA (tRNA) molecules are approximately 80 nucleotides in length.
Source: RNAcentral